CGCAAGACCUCGCGCGAUUGGAGCGGCCGAUAUCAGAUUAGGUAGUUGGUGAGGUAAAGGCUCACCAAGCCGACGAUCUGUAGCUGGUCUGAGAGGACGACCAGCCACACUGGGACUGAGACACGGCCCAGACUCCUACGGGAGGCAGCAGUGGGGAAUUUUGGACAAUGGGCGCAAGCCUGAUCCAGCCAUGCCGCGUGCGGGAAGAAGGCCUUCGGGUUGUAAACCGCUUUUGUCAGGGAAGAAAAGGUUCUGGCUAAUACCUGGGACUCAUGACGGUACCUGAAGAAUAAGCACCGGCUAACUACGUGCCAGCAGCCGCGGUAAUACGUAGGGUGCAAGCGUUAAUCGGAAUUACUGGGCGUAAAGCGUGCGCAGGCGGUUAUGCAAGACAGAGGUGAAAUCCCCGGGCUCAACCUGGGAACUGCCUUUGUGACUGCAUGGCUAGAGUACGGUAGAGGGGGAUGGAAUUCCGCGUGUAGCAGUGAAAUGCGUAGAUAUGCGGAGGAACACCGAUGGCGAAGGCAAUCCCCUGGACCUGUACUGACGCUCAUGCACGA
Molecule: ribosomal RNA, 560 nt
Filed under: uncultured Roseateles sp.
Lineage: Bacteria; Pseudomonadati; Pseudomonadota; Betaproteobacteria; Burkholderiales; Sphaerotilaceae
Description: bacterial SSU rRNA
Rfam family: Bacterial small subunit ribosomal RNA
Source: RNAcentral